AUUGAACGCUGGCGGCAGGCCUAACACAUGCAAGUCGAACGAGUGGCGGACGGGUGAGUAAUGUCUGGGAAACUGCCCGAUGGAGGGGGAUAACUACUGGAAACGGUAGCUAAUACCGCAUACCAUCGGAUGUGCCCAGAUGGGAUUAGCUCGUAGGUGGGGUAACGGCUCACCUAGGCGACGAUCCCUAGCUGGUCUGAGAGGAUGACCAGCCACACUGGAACUGAGACACGGUCCAGACUCCUACGUGAGUCAGCAGUGUGGAAUAUUGCACAAUGGGCGCAAGCCUGGUGCAGCCAUGCCGCGUGUAUGGAGAAGGCCUUCGGGUUGUAAAGUACUUUCAGCGAGGAGGCGUUACUCGCAGAAGAAGCGCCGGCUGACUCCGGGCCAGCAGCCGCGGUGAUAC
Molecule: ribosomal RNA, 406 nt
Filed under: uncultured bacterium
Lineage: Bacteria
Description: partial 16S ribosomal RNA
Rfam family: Bacterial small subunit ribosomal RNA
Source: RNAcentral